AUUGAACGCUGGCGGCAAGCCUAACACAUGCAAGUCGAACGAGUGGCGGACGGGUGAGUAAUGUCUGGGAAACUGCCUGAUGGAGGGGGAUAACUACUGGAAACGGUAGCUAAUACCGCCUACCAUCGGAUGUACCCAGAUGGGAUUAGCUAGUCGGGGGGGUAAAGGCUCACCUCGGCGACGAUCCCUAGCUGGUCUAAGAGGAUGACUAGCCACACUGGAACUGAGACACGGCCCAGAAUCCUACGGUAGGCAGCAGUGGGGAAUAUUGCACAAUGGGCGCAAGCCUGAUGCAGCCAUGCCGCGUGUAUGAAGAAGGCCUUCGGGUUGUAAAGUACUUUCAGCGGGGAGGCGUUACCCGCAGAAGAAGCACCGGCUAACUCCGUGCCAGCAGCCGCGGUAAUAC
RNAcentral lists this ribosomal RNA (406 nucleotides) under uncultured bacterium. Its description in RNAcentral is "partial 16S ribosomal RNA". It matches the Rfam family "Bacterial small subunit ribosomal RNA", at positions 30 to 526 of the family's 1533-position model. The record is from RNAcentral.